UACGUAGGGGGCAAGCGUUGUUCGGAAUUACUGGGCGUAAAGGGCGCGUAGGCGGCACAGCAAGUCGGGAGUGAAAGCCCGGGGCUCAACCCCGGAAUGGCUUUCGAAACUGCUGAGCUAGAGUACAGAAGGGGCAACCGGAAUUCCCAGUGUAGCGGUGAAAUGCGUAGAUAUUGGGAAGAACACCUGAGGCGAAGGCGGGUUGCUGGGCUGAUACUGACGCUGAGGCGCGAAAGCCAGGGGAGCAAACGGG
RNAcentral lists this ribosomal RNA (253 nucleotides) under uncultured bacterium. Its description in RNAcentral is "partial 16S ribosomal RNA". It matches the Rfam family "Bacterial small subunit ribosomal RNA", at positions 524 to 776 of the family's 1533-position model. The record is from RNAcentral.